GAUUAAGCAACCGUACAGCGCUAGGCACGAGAGCUUCUUAUUGCUUGGUGACAAGAUUAGUUUCAAGUACGAGCUGAGAUAUGGAAAAACAGAAGUAAACAAGAACAUCUGGAUCAUCCGAUCACGGUUAUCAAAGACUGAUUUUACUCCACAUGAUAGAUGUUUCGCCAUUACAAACCGCUCAGCAGUUCAACUAUUUAAAGGUAGCAGACAUUCAAGACCAGGGCAUCACUCAAAAACAAAACCAGUAGCAUUUCUGUAAGAGGGGUAACUAAAUGGGACGACAUAAUGUUUUCCAGAUCGACCAAUCCCAGUACCAAGAAUCCAGCAGGUGGGAGAACAAAGAUUCUAGAUCUUGUUGAAGGCAACGAUGUCACACGACUGGACAUAUUCGUUGAUGGGCGCCUCGCAAAGCACUUCCUCAAUAAGAGUGUCGACGGACACAAGGUCAUCG
Molecule: long non-coding RNA, 454 nt
Filed under: Triticum aestivum (bread wheat)
Lineage: Eukaryota; Viridiplantae; Streptophyta; Magnoliopsida; Poales; Poaceae
Description: long non-coding RNA (TAES_LNC023705)
Source: RNAcentral